This is a long non-coding RNA of Sciurus carolinensis (gray squirrel), 3681 nucleotides long. RefSeq lists it as uncharacterized. Lineage: Eukaryota; Metazoa; Chordata; Mammalia; Rodentia; Sciuridae. The record is from RefSeq and is a predicted model, not a curated record. The transcript is spliced from 6 exons.
GCCCCGGGGCGAGCGCGUCCCCGGGCCCCGCGGCCUCGGGCUGCGCCUGGGAGGGGCGGCGGGCCGCGGCGGACGGAGGGGGAGGGCGGCGGAGCCGGCGGAGCCAGCCUCGAGGGCGCGGGACCCAGCGCGCCCGCCUCGCCGCGGCGCCCGGGCCACGGCACCCAGCCCGACCGGCCUGGGGCGAGGGCGCAACCCAGCGACUGGCCCGCGGCCGCCGGCCGGCUCCUCGCCCCGGUCCGCAGCCCCUCCGCACCUCCCGGGCUGAGGCUCCCAGAGAAAAGAGAACACUACAAAUCUCACCCACAUCCAGAUCAAUGGUAUAAUUUCUUAGGAAUCAAGAAUCAAGACUGGGUUAUUUUCUAAGGUUAACCUUGAAAGCCCACUUGGAUGAUGCAACAAGAAAGGAUAAUCACCCAUACACUUGGACAUGAAAAAAUGAUCUUCUAUCAGGGAGCCCUCUUCAGCUAACCACCAGAAAUAGUGAGAAGGAACCUCUUUCUGACCCAACUCAUCCAGAUGAACACAUCAGCCCUUUGAAGAAGGACUGGAGCUGCAUGAGAAUGGCCAGGUCACUGUCUUCGGCUCACACAUCAUUAAGCAGCCUCCUCCAGAACAGCCACCAGUGUCUAGGUCCUGCCCUGUCCAGAGUGGUGCUCCCUCUCACCAGGCAUCGUGUACUGCGGUGUUACUGGGACUUCCCAGAGGAUGUGGCUCUUUUUUCUAAUUUGCACCAAAGCACCUAUAUGGACUAGUGCACAGCUCUGGCCGUUCUAUCUCUAAACCCCAGUCCUAACUGGGAUUAUAUUGCUUAUUUUGAAUGAAUUAGUGAUUCUCAAAUACAAAUUAGGUUUAUUGUAAAAGAUGAGAUAUUUGAUUUAAAUUGAAAACAAACUUCAUAGGGUCUACUGAUGCCCCCACUGAACUGACUUUCAGACUGAACCUUGACUGGAGUCUGUGGGUGAAAGCAACUGAGUUCAGAUGCAAGUUUCAUGCAGAGUCCUUGUGAUGGCUGAAGGUACACUAGUUUUUGCUUUUAAGAGAUAACUUAAGAUGAUUGAUAAGCACCUGCAGAAGAAUAGUCCUUUGUUUCAUUCUAAAAAAGUGAGAGACUACAUGAGAGGAACCGAACAGCCAACACUCCAUCUGGAGUCUUUGAAUCUAUUGGAUGGAUUGUUUUUGUGAAGAAGUUUCUCCCAUGAAAAUCCAGCAGAAAGAGCCAUAUUUGAGCCUUUACCUUAUGCUAGGGUGUGAUGGCUGUAGGACUGGAAGCCUCUGUUUCUAGUUGACUGCUUUCCAGAGAGCUCUUCAGUCGGCCCAGCUCACGACAUGGCAGCUUGCUUCUUCAAAACCAACAAAGCAGAGAGUCUUCUCUCAAGAUGGCCUUUGCAGUCUAGCAAAUGUAAUCCUGAACAACCCAUCACCUUUGCUGUAUUCAGUGGACAAGUCACAAAUCCUCCCCACGCUCCAGGAAAAGGAUCCCACAUGAGUGUCGGGAGGUGGGCAUCACGGGCCACCCGAAUGUCUGUCUACCACAUCCUCCUGCGUUUCAAGGCCAUCUGCUUAACUCUUCCUGCCAUGCCUGCUUCUCUGCCUUAUUUGUCUGUCCAGGGUUGAUCUUUCUUCUUUCUCCCAGUUUAUCAGUCUCCUGUUUUCUACACUUCUCGUUAUCUUCCUUAGAUUGGAUUCCUUGUCCCUCUGAAUAAUAUUUGAGUACUAGUCUUUCUCUCCCUUUCACACCCCGACAUCUUGAAUAGUUGUGUACACUGACUAUUGCAUUUACCUCCUUUUCCCUGGGCUCUCAACCCUCUCCUGUCUGCCUUCUGACUCUGAUUCUCCACUGAAUGGUUCCUCCUCACCUCACCAAUGGCUACCAUAUCUAGUUAUGACAGCGCCAUAAUAUUUUUCAGUGCUCAUCUUAAUGAACCACUCAGCAACAUUUAAUAAAGCUGACCAUUCGCUUCUUGAAAUAUUCCUUCCCUUUUUAUUUUCAUAUCAAGACAUACUCCAGGUUCCCAUUCUUCCAGCUGCUCCUUUGCUAGUUUCUCCUCUAUUAAACCACUAAGUAUUGUGAUGCCUAUGAAUUCUGUCCUGGGUCCUCCAUUCUCAUUUACAUUGUGCCCUCUCUAGUCCACCACAUCUAGUCCUGUGUGGCUUUCAUUUCAUGUAGGUAGACCAGAUGUCUCAGGGAGCUCCAGCAUCACAUAGUUGCAUUUUUGAUACCUCUCCUUUAAUAUUUCAUGAGCAUUUCAAAUUCAAUUUAUUCAAAUCUAAAUUACAUAGAUUUCUACUAUAGACCUCUACUUUCAAUGUUCUAUAUCUCAGUAUACAGCACUAUCAUUUGGUACCUUGCUCACCCCAGAAACCUCUGAGCAAUCUUUGAUCAUUCUUUUUCCUCUUUCCAUAUUUCUAGUCAGUUAUCAAAUGAACUUCUUUCCAUCUCUUGACUGACUAAUCUCUCUCCUCUUUAUGGUCACUGAUAUCAUCUUAGUGUAAGUCGCCUCAUUUACACUUCUCCCUCGCCUGUACUCCUGCACCAGCUGCCAACCAAACUCACGUUUCAGGGUACACACUUGCCCCUUGCCAAUCCAUCCUCUGCAUCGUAACUAGAACAUUCUUUUAGAAAUGCAAACCUAAUCAGUUGAUUCCUUGCUUUAAAGGCUUCAGAUAGUUUUCAUUGUCCUUAUGAGACAUCACAUUCCUUAGCACAGACAACAUGGAAGGGAAGAUCCAUAAGUGUAGACCCGUGUCUUGUAUAUUGCUGCCUCUCCAAUGCCUGCUUAGCACAGUACCUGGUAUGUAGAUGGUGCUCACUAAAUUUUGAAUGAAAUAAUUAUAAGAUUCCAUACGUUCUGUGCUCUGUAUCAGUUAACUUGUGCUAUGUAAAGAAACCAUCUCGACAUUUAGCAGCUUAAAUAUCAGUUUAUUUGCUCAUAAUUCAGUAGGUCAGCCAGACAUUUCUCAUCCAGGCUCUUAGUGGAUGUCUGAGGUUGUCUGUUUGCUGGGCUGGGGCUGGGUACUCUUAAGGCAGCCUCGUUCAUAUUAUCACUAGAGUCCUAAGCCAAAGGCCUGACUCUGGGGGUCUCAGCAGAACGCAGUCAGCCACUAGCCAACACACUCCAAUCAACAGAAAGAGAUGAGUGGUCGUGAGCAGGAAAGGAAUUUAUUUUCAGUGUAGCCACAGCAUGAAGGAGUGAGGGAGGGGGUGUCCCAAGCCCCAACUUCGGGGUAUUAACAAUGGCUGUAGGAUUUCAUAGGGGAAAAACUAGGGCAGGGGGCAAGAAGUAUGCAGAGUCAAGCAGUCUUGGUCAAACUGUGGUCUGGUUGAUCAUUAUCUCAGGUCUGGUUCUACGGGGUCCUGCUGGCGCCACAGAAAUCAUUAUUGCUUGGGGGACAAUUCUGUUGCUGUCAUGAGAUGAUUGCUCCCCCUUUGGGGGGCAGCCUCUGUUCCCAUCAUGAGGUAAUUGCCUGCAGGGCUUGCUGUUCCUGGAACUUGAGAUAAGUUGGGGAGGAGAAAUAACUCAAAGAACAGGUCUGAGAAACAAAAUAGAGUCAGUUAAGACAAGGACUGGAUCUUCCUUCCGGGGAGGCAAAUGACAAUUUCAGAGGAGCCAAGUUAGAAUAUGUCUGCCAAGCCUGCUGGUUAGUGUACCCGGCCUUCCGCUGGGACAGUGUCAUUGU